This is a non-coding RNA of Pelobates cultripes (western spadefoot toad), 224 nucleotides long. The record is from the annotation of a GenBank genome assembly. NCBI's taxonomy places the organism in Eukaryota, Metazoa, Chordata, Amphibia, Anura, Pelobatidae.
AUAUUUUACUCUAUUGUUAUUUAGUGUCUCUUAUAAUUGCCAGCUUCAUUUUCACUGGCAUUUCUGAAUGUACACUAUUACUUACUUAUACUUGGACUCAUGCUGUAAUCUCAGUAAUAAUUAGGAUUAUUCUACAAUAGUCUUUAUUUUAUGCAUACAUUUUUCUUUUUGUCCUUUGUUCUAAACUAUCAAUAGCUUUAGAAUGUAAUAAUUUUUUAUUUAUU